GUCUGUUUUGUAAAUUGAAUUCUAUAUCACUUAUUCAGAAUGCAGCACUUGUACAGUUGUACUCGAGCUUUAUAAUUCAGACGAAUUUAAUCGAACGAAAUAAUUGAAUUGCGACAGUAUAGUGCGUCGUAUAAUAAACAGCAUUAUUAUAUAUUGGAUGAAGUUUUUGUGAUAUCCAGAAUUAUCAAGGUUGAGGUAAGUGUUAUUCGGCAUUAAGCAUUAUUCGGUAUGCGAAGUUCAUAUUACGCAAAAGGUAUUCCCUGCAAGUUUUGCCUGAGAUUUAUUUUGUGCAAAUGGCAUGCUGAUUUGGUUAGCUAAUAAAGUGAUAAUCUAGAAUAAAGACUUUAAUCGGCUUUACAAUGUCGCUGCAAUUGGUGUCGCUGCAGCAAUUGAAAACUUUAGUGCAACUACAG
Molecule: non-coding RNA, 413 nt
Organism: Paramuricea clavata
Lineage: Eukaryota; Metazoa; Cnidaria; Anthozoa; Malacalcyonacea; Plexauridae
Source: the annotation of a GenBank genome assembly